Hevea brasiliensis (rubber tree) is the source of this 2039-nucleotide long non-coding RNA. RefSeq lists it as uncharacterized. The record is from RefSeq and is a predicted model, not a curated record. The transcript has 2 exons. Lineage: Eukaryota; Viridiplantae; Streptophyta; Magnoliopsida; Malpighiales; Euphorbiaceae.
AAUAGGGUCAGUAACUUUGUGAGUUGGAUAUUGAUUAUAUUCUGUAAUUUUAACAUUAUUUAUAUGUUUUUAGCAUGCUCAUGCAUUUUAUAAAUAUAGUUUCAUGCUCAGCUAAAUAAAUUAGAAGCACUCUUAUUGUUACAUAUUUAUUUAUAGAUAAUUAUUUGUAUUUGCCGCCUUGGGAAUAAUUUAGAGUUGUGCGUAAGUGCGUUAUAUGUAUAUAUAGUAAAUGAUGGAUAUGAAUUGGACCAGUAGUCGCGACUCAAACUAAUUUCGUUGAACCCUAUCCUUAUAGAUAUGGAAAGUCGAGGUAAGGCACGGCUCUGAGUUGAGUGAAAGUCCGAUUUGAGUUGAGCUCGCUGGUGAGAUUUGAAUUGAAAGAGCUGUAUAGUGGAUUAACUUUCAUAUUUAUGCAUUAAUGUGAUAUACUGGGUGCGUGAGUAACUCCCAUAUUUGUUAUAUGUGUUAGAUAUGCAUUUUAUAAUAAAACUGCGUUGGUUUUAGGUAGUUGAAAUUACAUUUGUAAUCAACAUCUAAACUCGCUAAGUUGAACGCUCACUUUUGUUCAAUUAUUUUUCCUUAGGUAACAGGUGAAUAUUAUUUUAGUAGUGAACAUGUUUUAUUUGUCACAUGAAAACUUAAACUAGUAAUGUAUUAACUGUAUUUAUUAUUUUUUUAUAUAUAAAAACCUGCAUUGAUUGUUUUAGAUGUACUUAUGAUGUAAAAUUAAUUUAAUAAACUUAGCAUGUAAUUGUGAUAUUGGAUUUUAGGGUUAGUUGAGCUCCCGAUAUGAUAUCGGAUAUGAAUUGAGUUUUUUUUUUCGUUGAAUUAUUCAAUUUAUUGCUGGACUUUGUUUUCUUGAGUUAACCCUCUAUUUUGGAUUUAGUUAUUGGGUGGGUUUAAUUGUUAGGUACUAACCCAGCGCCGGUCUGGUUAAAAAGUCAGGUUGUGACACUUUUAAUCCUAACAUUUAAUUUUUUAGGUUUAAUUUCAAUCACUGAAUAUAAAGUUUGUUGAAAAUAUUAUGGACAAAAUUAUGUACAUCUUAAUUUUGUUUAUUGAUUUUUGGGGUUUAAUUUUUAUCAUAAGAUUUAAAGAAAAAAAAUUAUCCAAUUUAAUCUCAACCCUUCAUUUCUUUUAAUCUUAAAAUCUGCCACCAUUAAUUUUAGAGUUUUCCCAUUUCCCUCUUCCCCAUCAGCUUGAGAUUUCUGUCUCAUAUCUGCCUCCACCCGCAGAGCAUGCCCCAUCGACACAUCAAACUAUCUAACCCAUUCCACUCGGCUCCUCCUCGCUAAUGCGCGCGGAGAGAACCCUUCGAGACCCACCUAGACGCUUCCUCACGUCCAUUCCCUCUUCUCCUUUGGCUUUCAACAGAGACCCAUUUCAGUUUGGCUCAUCUCCUUUGAAUUCCGGGCGUACCUCUCUUCUUCCUCGAUCCUGUUUCGAUUCCAAUGGUGCAAGGCCCAAUUUUGCUCAAGCCAAAUGACCACUGAUUGGACAAUCUGCCAUCAUCACAGAACUUCGUUAAGCUUCUAUAUGAAGUUAGAAUUAUCAAUUUUGAGAAAUGAAGCCAAAGGCAUUAGCCGAAGCAUGCCAUACAUCAUAAGAAGAGGUCAGGCCAAUUAUAUAAAGAAACACUUCUUUAGAGAGGGAAGAUAGAAGCCAAGUGAGAAGCAUCUGGUCCUUGUUGAACCAAGUUUCAUAGCCAGGAUUUGGAAUUUGUUUAGCGGUAGCAAAGGCAUUUGCAAUUGUCUUGGAUGGGGGGGAAGAGGAGCCACCAAUGAAUUCAUUCAGAUUUUGUUAAUUGAGAAGGGGUAAAAGCUGAAUGUUCUUGGCCGGGUAGCUCUUUGUUGCGAGUUUAACAGAGAAACUAUGAUGAGUGGAAGUAGUAGGCGACAAUGGAGAAGAGAGGCAUUAGAAGAUGAACUCAUGAUUUUGAAGAUUGCUCUAAUACCAUGUAAAAUAUGUGAUAUUGCAUUGCUUGUAUCGUUGUAUAAGAGAUGGUAAAACAUAUAUAUGAGCAGAUUGUACAAGAUAAA